CACAUGCGUAAUGGAUGACCAGUGGCCGUGACAGGGAAUGAGGAAAGGUGCAGCUGACCAAACCAUAUCGCUGCCUCGCGGCCCGGUAGCGCAUGCUCUGCGGCCCGGUAGUUGGGGAUUGCUGGGAUAUGACAAGUUGGAGCAAGGCCUGGUAUGGAAAUAGCAAUGUCUAAGAACAGAAAAGUCUGCAAAAAAUGGUGGAUAAGGCCCAGUCCAUCACAGGCACUGCCCUCCUCAGUUUUGAACACAUCUACAAGGAGAGCUGCCACAAGAAAGCAGCAUCCAUCAUCGAGGACCCCUGCCAUCCAGGCCACACUUCUUCUCACUGCUGACAAUCGGAAGGAGGUGGAAGAGCCUCAGGACCACACCACCAGACUCAGGAACCCUAAAGCAACAGGUUGGAGAACAGUGGUAAGCUGCCUGAUCUACUGAGUGCAUCUAGAUUUCCUGUAUUUACAAAGUUUUGAUCUUCACAUGAGGAAAUAAUAGCCAACAGGAAUAAGCCAAAACAUAAAACAGGGCCGGGCACCUCAGACACUGCCUAGAAGAAGAUAAUGGCAAACUGCUUUUGUAGAAAAAUUGCCAAGAACAAUCAUGGUCAUGGAAAAACCGUGAUCGCCCACGUCAUACGACACAGCAUAUAACGAACGAACAAUGAACAGGUAUGUUUCUGGUACUGUUAAAGCCUGUGAUCUACAGUUUGGAGAUCAAUUGAGAGAUCUGUCACUUUCUGAGAAGAUUCCAGGAGGCGAGCGCCCCCGAGGCCUAGAAGCUUAGAGAUAGGGCGCAAGCCCAUGAUCUAUUUUUCACCAAUCUCGCUGAUUAAAGCUUAGACGAAAAUUAAAACAUUGAGGCGCAUGCAGAAGGUGAGUGUUCAGCACCAUCUACCAGCCUCUCAUUUGCUGCUGCCAGAGAAAGGCCCCUGCAUUCUCUCUCCCUCGAUGCUGUUGGAGGAUAGUACCGAAAUUCUGGAUCUCCGAUUUACCAAUUAGACUGUAGUUCACUUGGACCCAGUUUUAUGUUUUAAUAUUCUGUGUUUUUGCCCAUUCUUUCUUGUUGUCAUUUGUGCAAUUUGGUUUUUUUUGCACACAGGUGGAUGUUUGAUUUUUUUUCUUUGAAUGGCUUCCAUGGCUUUCUUUGUUUUGUGGCUGUGGGAAGGCAAAUCUCAGAGCUGUAUACUGCAUACUUACUUAUACAUACGCAUACAUACUUAAUAAAUGUACCUUGAACCUUGAACAAACAUCAUUUUGCAGGCACCACAUGUAAGUUAUUUCCCUUUGAUGGAGAAGAAUGAGACUAAUUCUGUGAGUGGCCGGCUGAUGUGUAACUAAAUAAUCCAGAUCAGUGCCCAGAUUAAUGCAGCAUAGAUGAUGCCUUCCCUCGAGAGCAGCUGGCUGUGCCAAUCUACAUUCAUUAAUAUACUAAAGGGCAAUUACAAGCUAUACACUGAUGAUGUGAAGCUUGGGUGGCUGUGGUCUGGGGUGCAGUGGAUGCUGUAACGUUGGCCUUCUGAUGCUGCAAUGUGAUUGGAUCCACAGAUCUGGGGCUGGAAGGGAUGAGCUCCAUGCCCUGCAAUGUCACUCUCGCACUCCACCGUGCCCUUUGAUAUUGUACUGCACGCACUACAUCGAGCAGCUCAGUGUAUACAAUUCAGAGUUAGGUGGGCUGUUGCAGUGGGAGAUGCAACUUUAUACCAACUGCAUGCUUUAAAUCAAAGGCAUAUACUGAGGAGUAGGUGCAUGUGGGAAAUGUGAUGAAGUAUCUAUAUGUUGUCUUCAGUGGAUUCAACUGAUUUGUUGGCCAUGGACUCAAGAAUGGUCAUAUCAGCAACGAUCAACAUUAUUUCCAGCUCAAGACUUGGAUACGCGGGCGCGCUUGGCUCCUGGAAAUGAUCUCUGCAAUCUGUCACUGUGAUGCAAGAGAGAAGACAUUGCAAUGAUGCACAUUGCUUGGGCCUGGUUGAAUGGCUAGUAAUAUGUCCAAGCUGAAAGCUGAAGACACCCAGCAAUGAUAUAUGUCAAGGUUCAAAUUUCAAAGUUCAAAGUAAAUGUAUUAUCAAAUGUAUUGUCACCAUAUACAGCCCAAAGGUUCAUUUCCUUGUGGCAGACACAUUAAAUACAAAGAAGCACAAUGGAAUCCAUUAAAUUCCACACCCUACAAGACAGACAAACACCAUGUGCAAAAGACAACAAACUGCAAAUACAAAACAAAAAAAAAUAAUAAAUAAAUACACAAUAAAUAUUGAGAACAUGAGUCCAUAGUUGUUGGAACAGUUUAGUGAUGGGGUGAGUGAAGUUUAUGAAGUUAUCUCCUCUGGUUCAGGGCCCUGAUGGUGGAGGGGUAAUAACUGUUCCUGAACCUGGUGAUGUGAGUCCUGAGGCUCCUGUACCUCCAUCCUGAUGACAGUAGUGAGAAGAGAGCAUGGCCUGGGUGGUGGGGGGGUCCCUGAUGAUGGAUGUUAGAAACAUAGAAAACCUACAA
Mobula hypostoma (lesser devil ray) is the source of this 2481-nucleotide long non-coding RNA. RefSeq lists it as uncharacterized. The record is from RefSeq and is a predicted model, not a curated record. NCBI's taxonomy places the organism in Eukaryota, Metazoa, Chordata, Chondrichthyes, Myliobatiformes, Myliobatidae. The transcript has 4 exons.